UUCCGGUUGAUCCUGCCGGACCUGACUGCUAUCGGAUUAAUACUAAGCCAUGCGAGUUUUUGUAGUAAUACAAGGCAUACGGCUCAGUAACACGUAGUCAACCUACCCUAUGGACGAGGAUAAUCUCGGGAAACUGAGCAUAAUACUCGAUAGAUCAUAAUGCCUGGAAUGGUUUAUGGUUGAAAUGAUUCGUUCGCCAUAGGAUGGGACUGCGGCCUAUCAGCUUGUUGGUGGGGUAAUGGCCCACCAAGGCGAUUACAGGUACGGGCUCUGAGAGGAGAAGCCCGGAGAUGGGUGCUGAGACACGGACCCAGGCCCUAUGGGGCGCAGCAGGCGAGAAAACUUUGCAAUGUGCGAAAGCACGACAAGGUUAGUCCGAGUGAUUUCUGCUAAAGAAAUCUUUUGCAAGUCAUAAAACCACUAGUGAAUAAGGGGUGGGCAAGUUCUGGCGUCAGCCGCCGCGGUAAAACCAGCACCUCAAGUGGUCAGGAUGAUUAUUGGGCCUAAAGCAUCCGUAGCCGGCUCUGUAAGUUUUCGGUUAAAUCUAUGCGCUCAACGUAUGGGCUGCCGAAAAUACUGUAGAGAUAGGGAGUGGGAGAGGUAGACGGUACUCGGUAGGAAGGGGUAAAAUCCUUUGAUCUAUCGAUGACCACCUGUGGCGAAGGCGGUCUACCAGAACACGUUCGACGGUGAGGGAUGAAAGCUGGGGGAGCAAACCGGAUUAGAUACCCGGGUAGUCCCAGCUGUAAACGAUGCAGACUCGAUGAUGCAUUGGCAUAUAGUCCGGUGCAGUGUCGCAGGAAGCCGUUAAGUCUGCCGCCUGGGAAGUACGUACGCAAGUAUGAAACUUAAAGGAAUUGGCGGGGGAGCACCACAGGGGUGAAGCCUGCGGUUCAAUUGGAGUCAACGCCGGA
This 914-nucleotide ribosomal RNA is filed under the name uncultured archaeon. Its description in RNAcentral is "bacterial SSU rRNA". It matches the Rfam family "Archaeal small subunit ribosomal RNA", at positions 1 to 922 of the family's 1478-position model. The record is from RNAcentral.